Molecule: unclassified non-coding RNA, 561 nt
Filed under: Hevea brasiliensis (rubber tree)
Lineage: Eukaryota; Viridiplantae; Streptophyta; Magnoliopsida; Malpighiales; Euphorbiaceae
Source: RNAcentral
AUUAAUAAGACUAGGUGAUGAGGAUUUUGUAACUAAGUUGGAAGAUGGUAUAGGCGUUAGACAAGCCAUACUUGUCAGGCUCUCCUUGCUCAUCCUCUACUAAUUAAUCUCUGAAAAGUUAUUAUUCUCUUUUCUAUAAUCAUAGUGUUCUUUUUUUUAAUUAUUUUUCUAUAAUUUCUCUUUUCUAAAAUCAAUGGCAUCUUUGUCGACGGCUUUGCCUGGGCCAUGACCGACCAUGCUCUUCAGCACGCGUUUAGUCAUCUUUGAAUUAAAUGUUGAUUUACGUUAUCGCAGAGAUCGAAUUCGACCCGACCCCACUCGGCUUUGUCGAUUCAAGAUCUAUGAUUUGUUUGUGUUAUAAUAUCUCUGCACUAUUCUUCUUUUAUGUUACACACUAACCUCAAAUUAAUACGGAUGCUCUGUUGGUCUUUAAUGAUGAUUUAAAUAUCUUUUAUUGAUGAAUACUUAAAAUUUUUAGAAUCCUAUUUCAAACUCUAAAUUUACAAAAUUCGAAAUUUAAAUGAUAAAGGCAACUCCCAACUAUUUAAACAAACAAUUACU